CCUACGGGUGGCAGCAGUGGGGAAUCUUUGGCAAUGGGCGCAAGCCUGACCCCGCAACGCCGCGUGAAGGAAGAAGGCUUUCGGGUUGUAAACUUCUUUUCUCAGGGACGCAGCAAGUGACGGUACCUGAGGAAUAAGCCACGGCUACCUACGUGCCAGCAGCCGCGGUAAUACGGAGGUGGCAAGCGUUAUCCGUCUUUACUGGGUGUAAAGGGCGAGUAGGCGGGUAUGCAAGUAAGAUGUGAAAACCAUGGGCUCAACCUAUGGCCUGCAUUUGAUACUGUAGUUCUUGAGUACUGGAGAGGCAGACGGAAUUCGUAGUGUAGCGGUGAAAUGCGUAGAUAUUAGGAGGAACACCAGUGGCGAAGGCGGGCUGCUGGACAGCAACUGACGCUGAGGCGCGAAAGCGUGGGGAGCAAACAGGAUUAGAUACCCGAGUAGUC
Molecule: ribosomal RNA, 443 nt
Filed under: uncultured bacterium
Lineage: Bacteria
Description: partial 16S ribosomal RNA
Rfam family: Bacterial small subunit ribosomal RNA
Source: RNAcentral